AUUACUGCGGCUCGCCUACUAGGCAGACAGAUACAAUGCCCACUAUAAUUAACUUAUGUCCAUUUUUUCAGCUACAAAGUUGUCCAAUUUUGCAUUUUAAUAAAUAUAUGGUUUAUUUUAAUGUUUUCAUGGCAUUUAUCCAGAUAUUUUUCUAUAAGCUAUUUUUUAUAUGUUCCUUAAAAUUGUAAGCUAUUAUGUUGAAACAUGAUUUGCUAUUUAUUGACACACAAAGAUAAACGAGGAGUUACCAACACCAGAAUCAAAAACAGAAACAAAACAUUUAUUUUUUAUACACACACAUAUUUACACCAUGCCAGCUUAUUGCACAGAUUUUUUGGUUCAACUUUUAUUUCUUAUAUAUCUUAAAGGGAUCUUUUCACGAUUUGGUAAAUUGACAAAAUUGAAAAAAGUUGUUUCAGAUUCGUAAGUUUUCGUUUUAGUUAUAAUAUUUGUGUGGAAACAGUAAUACUGAACAUUAACCAUGCUCUAAUAUAGCCAUUAUAUGCAUCUUUUGAAGAUUUUAAAACCUAAAAAUUAUAAAGCGUUGCAACGCGAAACGAUUGAAUAAUUUGGAGAGUUCUGUUUUUGUCGUUAAAUUUUGUGAAACUACGAAGAUUGCUUAUAUAAGGUAUAAAAUACGUCAAGAAUGUGUACUCGGCGGAAUAGCUCAGUAGGCUAAAGCGUUUUUACUUCAGGACUCUGGCAGGACUCCAGGGGUCACUGGUUCGAAACCUGCUCCGGGCAAUGUUCUUUUCCUUUUUUAGCUCACCUGAGCGAUAGCUCGAGGUGAGCUAUUGUGAUCACUCAGCGUCCGGCGUCCGUCCGUCCUUCCGUCCGUCCGUCUGUAAACAAUUUGUAAACAUCUUCUUCUACUAAACCAUUGAGCCAAUUUCAACUAAAUUUCAUGUGGAGCAUCCCUAGGUCAUGGGACAAAAGAAUUGUUAAAAAAAAUUUGAUCACAUAACCAAGAUGGCCGCCAUGACCAUAUAUGGUAAAAACCUUAAAAAAUCUUCUUGUCAGAAACUGCUCAUCAGAUUUUCAAAAAUUUUCACAGGGAUGACCUUUAAGGGCUCCCCUGAAAAAGUUGGUCAAAGAAAUUUGAUUCGUCAAAAAACAUGGCCGCAGGAGCUCGUUGAACUUUGCAUGUGUAUUCGUUUUUGCCUAUUUUGUGAAAACUUUCAAAAAUCUUCCACUUUUUUUGUCCGAUCCUUUCCAAAUUUGCACAGUGUCUUUAUAUCAAUGAGGACACGAACCCUACAAAAAAUGAGCAUUAUUGGUCCAUGAAGUACAGAAUUACCUCCCCUUGAAUUGAGAAAAUGGUGUUUAUGCAAUAAAGUCCAAAUUUUUCAUCCAAUUCUUUCCAAACUUGUAAGGAUUUAGCAUGGUUCAAACAAGGGAAACAACUACGGUUUAUGCAUGUUCUUUUUAUUACAGAUUUGCCUCCCUUUAAUUCAUUCAAAAUCUCAUUUUACAGCAGAGAUUCCAAAUCUGACCUGUAAAUGAGCCCCAUAUUUACUGCUGGUGCUAUGUUACCUUUUCCCAUUUGAUCAUUCUUAAGUAUUGGUCUUGUAAUGCUGCUACUGCUACUGCUACUGCUACUGCUACUGCUACUGCUACUACUACUACUACUACUACUACUACUACUACUACUACUACUACUACUACUACUACUACUACUUCUACUACUACUACUACUACUACUACUUCUACUACUACUACCACUACUACUACUACUACUACUACUACUACUACUACUACUACUACUACUACUACUUGUACUACUACUACUAGUACUACUACCACCACCACCACCACCACCACCACCACCACCACCACCACCACCACGUCUACUAUUACUACUUCUACUACUACUGCCACUACUACUACUACUUUUACCACUACUACUACUACUACUACUACUACUACUACUACUACCACUACUACUACUACUACUACUACUACUACUACUUCUACUACUUCUACUACUACUACUACUACUACUUCUACUACUACUACUACUACUACUACUACUACUACUACUACUACUACUACAACUACUAUUACUACUACUACUACUACUACUACUACUACUACUACUACUACUACUACUACUACACCACCACCACCACCACCACCACCAUUCACAGUGACAAAAAACGUAUUCACACAAUGGCUGCUACUACAACUUAUAGCCCAUAUAGGGGGGCAUGCAUGUUUUACAAACAGCCCUUGUUUCUAUGGGAUUUUAACCACAACUGUUCAUGUUUAUCUCCGACACAUAUUUUUAGGUCACCUGUCAUGAAGUGACACGGUGAGCUUAUGUGAUCGUGUGAUGUCCGGAGUCCGUUGUGCGUGCCUGCGUGUGUCCGUCCUUCAACAAUUUGUUUGUGUAGACAGUAGAGGUCACAGUUUGCAUCCAAUCUUGAUGAAAUUUGGUCAAAAUGUUUAUCUUGAUGAAAUCCGGUUUGGGAUUGUAUUUGGGUCAUCUGGGGUCAAAAACAAGGUCACUAGGUCAAAUAAUAGAACAACCUUCUGUAGACAAUAGAGGUCACAGUUUUCAUCCAAUCUUUAUGAAAUUUGGUCAGAAUGUUUAUCUUGAUGAAAUCUGGGUUGGGAUUUUAUUUGGGUCAUCUGGGGUCAAAAACUAGGUCACUAGGUCAAAUAAUAGAAAAACCUUGUGUAGACAUUAGAGAUCACAGUUUUCAUCCAACCUUUAUGAAAUUUGGUCAGAAUUCUUGAUGAAAUCUGGGUGGGAUUGUAUUUGGGUCAUCUGGGGUAAAAAUCUAGGUCAAAUAAAUAGAAAAACCUUGUGUUGACAAUAGAGGUCACAGUUUUCAUCAAUAUUUAUGAACUGUGGUCAGAAUGUUUAUCUUGAUGAAAUCUGGAUUGGGAUUGUAUUUGGGUCAUCUAGAGUCAGGAACUAGGUCACUAGGUCAAAUCAUAGAAAAACAUUGUGUAGACAAUAGAGGUCAUAGUUUUCAUCUGAUCUUAAUGAGUCAGGUGAGCGAUUCAGGGCCAUCAUGGCCCUCUUGUUUAAUUUUUUUCUUGAUUUUUUACUGGAGCUUUUACGAUCCAAUGUUUACAUUUAUCAAUAUAAAGCAUUUAAUGAAUAAGUUAAAAAAAUGCCAAAAUCUGUGAAAAGGCCCCUUUAAUGCUUUUGCAAACCUGCUUUAUAUUUUUAAUCAAAGACACACACCAGAAAUGAACUGUCUAAUAAACACUAACAUGUUAUAUCCCUUAUUUGAUUCAUAAUUAUGUUUAAUUCAGUACAAGUUGAUUAAGUUGAACAUUGAACUGCAGUUUUAAUUUUACAUCAUUGUGAACUAUUGAAAUUAAUAACUAAGAUAUUUCAAUAACAAAUUUAUUAUAAGAAGGGGUUUAAAUUUAGAUAAAUAUAUAUGCCCCGCCCCUGGACCACCAGGUUAUAUGGAUGUGCACAAAGUAUUGUCACAAAUGAGUGUGUGCAGUAUGCGCAGGCUAAACUGGGACCAUUUUCUCCACCUAGACUGUAAUUAUAUUUUAGGAAAGAAUUUCUUCACAUGAACAAUUUUCAUAAAAGCACAAAGUGUUGUCCCUGACAGGGAAGAUACUUUAUGCACAUACAUUAAGCCCAGUUUUCAAAAGGGUCGGCUCAGUUUAAUAUUGAUGAUAUUAAUUAAAGUCGCAGAUUGCAUGGUAUUUACAGAUGUUUUGAGUGGCAUGUGGGCAUUAUACAAAAGUUUUAGAUGGAGCCACAUUGUAGAUCAACUAGGGGUUUCAUAUUCUAUAAUGCUGUGUACUUCAACAUGUCUUUCAGCUACUCUUGAUUUUCUUAACUUAUGUUUUAGACUUUAUUUUAUGCUUGUUUAGAAAUGUAAAUAUAAGGUUGAUUUAUAAUAACUUUGUAUUCGGUUGUAUUAAAUUAUUUUUAUUAACCAGGUUUUCCGAAGGAAAAAACUGGUUAUUAGAUUGGCGAAUGCGGGCAGGCUGGCUGGCUGGCUGGCUGGCGGGCUGGCUGGCUGGCGGGCUGGCGGAAUAAGCUUGUCCGGGCCAUAACUAUGUCGUUCAUUGUCAGAUUUUAAAAUCAUUUGGCACAUUUGUUCACCAUCAUUGAACGGUGUGUCGCGCGAAAUAAUUACGUCGAUAUCUCCAAGGUCAAGGUCACACUUUGAGUUCAAAGGUCAAAAAUGGCCAUAAAUGAGCUUGUCCUGGCCAUAACUAUGUCAUUCAUUGUGAGAUUUUAAAAUCAUUUGGCACAUUUGUUCACCAUCAUGGGACGGUGUGUCCCACGAAAGAAUCACGUCAAUAUCUCCAAUGUCAAGGUCGCCACGACUAAAAAUAGAUUUAAAAAAAAAAAAAAAACUUACAAAGGGGGUUAAUUUUUUUUGUUCAUUUCAAAA
Long non-coding RNA from Dreissena polymorpha, 4379 nucleotides. RefSeq lists it as uncharacterized. The transcript is spliced from 2 exons. The record is from RefSeq and is a predicted model, not a curated record. NCBI's taxonomy places the organism in Eukaryota, Metazoa, Mollusca, Bivalvia, Myida, Dreissenidae.